AUGGACGACGACACAAUGCUCAACAAUCACGGUCCUCAGCCUGGUGCUGAGACAGUUUAUGGCACCGAGGAUAACAAUAUGGUCAUGUCAGAAAAGAAUGAACAGGUUGUGAGCAUCGUGCAACAAUUAGCUGGUAGUAUAUAUCAAGAAUUCGAACGCAUGAUUAAUCGCUAUGACGAAGACGUGGUGAAAAAUCUUAUGCCACUACUGGUGAAUGUCUUAGAAUGCCUGGAUGCAUCAUAUCGCAUAAAUCAGGAGCAGGAUGUUGAAUUGGAGCUGUUGCGUGAGGACAACGAACAGCUGGUCACACAAUAUGAACGCGAAAAGAGUGCACGCAAACAAUCCGAACAGAAGCUGCUGGAAUCGGAGGAUGUGGCUGAACAAGAGAACAAAGAGCUGGCAAGCCGCUUGGAGUCACUAGAAAGCAUUGUGCGCAUGCUCGAAUUGAAGCAUAAAAACAGUUUAGAACAUGCGAGCCGUUUGGAAGAGCGCGAAACCGAACUGAAAAAGGAGUAUAAUAAACUGCAUGAACGUUAUACGGAGCUUUUCAAAAAUCAUGUUGACUACAUGGAACGCACCAAAAUGCUCAUGGGUUCUACACACUCACAAAUGAGUUCGGCUUCGGAGCGCUUAGAAAUGAAUCGAGCCAGGUUAAAUCCAAUUGCUCGAUCAUCCGGUCCAGUAUCGUAUGGAUUCGCGUCGCUCGAGAACUCAGCCAUGCUAGACACAGAGACAAUCUGUAGUGUGGGCAGCAAUUCGGAUGAUUCGGGGCCACCAUCAUUGCAAAAUGAAUUGGACAGUUUGCAGACGGUGGAGCGUGCGGCUGAGACGGACACAUUACAACACCAGAAUCAGGCUACAUCACCGCAAAGUGAAACGAGUCCCGCUGUGCCAAAUGCACCAGCCAAUGUUGGGCGUUCAACAACCAAAAAGGAGCAACGCUCUGCUAAUACCCUAUACCAAGAGUUGUCCUUUCAAGAUAACGAAGAGAGUGAAGAGCAUGAAGUUGUUACAGGAAGCUGGGUGCAUCCUGGAGAAUAUGCUUCUUCGGCUAACGACAACUAUUUCGGCAUGGGCAAAGAAGUGGAAAACCUCAUCAUGGAGAAUAAUGAACUCUUGGCAACGAAGAAUGCUUUGAACAUUGUUAAGGACGACUUGAUUGCCAAAGUCGAUGAGCUGACUGGCGAGAUUGAGAUAUUGCGCGAAGAAUUGAAUGCAAUGCAGCAAUCGCGCAACAAAUUGCGUCAGAAGGUUAGCGAGCUGGAGGAGGAGCUGAAAAAGACAAAGGAACAAGUUAAGCAACAAAAUGACACUGAACAGGAUGAGAACGAUGUACCAUUAGCUCAACGUAAACGCUUUACGCGCGUGGAAAUGGCGAUGGUGUUGAUGGAGCGCAAUCAAUACAAAGAACGUCUGAUGGAGCUGCAGGAGGCUGUGCGUUUAACAGAGAUUUUACGCGCCUCACGCACCGUCGACAAUUUGGACAAAAAGUCCAAGCAGAGCAUAUGGAAAUAUUUUAGUAGUUUAUUUACCCCCUCCAAUCGCCCGCAGGAGCGCGUCGCUGACGGGCAAGGAGGGGGGCCUAUGUUUCGCUACUCCAGCCCAGUUCACAGCCAUGGAUCCCCCAGUCGAAAUAGCGACAAUCGCCUUGCCAUAACCGGUGCACGCGACAAUGCAAAUCCACCACCACAUCCCGCCAGUGCGGGUCUAGCAAAUGCAUUGAUCACAAAAGACUACUCCGAGGAGGGUACAUCAGAACGCGCAAGCGCACGACGGCGCGAACAAUAUCGACAAUUACGUGCACAUGUACAGAAGGAGGAUGGCCGUUUGCAAGCCUACGGCUGGAGUUUGCCCAUAAACAAGACAAAUCAAGAGCAACCGAAUCGUCACUCUGGCGGUGUGCCGGUACCAGUCUAUUGCAAUCCUUUAGCCGAAGCGUCGCCGCAUAUGAAAGUGUUCUGUGCCGCCGGUGUGAAUCUUAACGGGGGUUUUACCAAAGAUGGACGUUCAGUUAUACCGUCGACGUCAUCAUAUGACCCACGUUCUACAGCUAAAAUCGCAGAAAUUACCAGUCCUACAGCAGAGCACUCAGCCGAGGCGCUCGAUCGGCAAAUAAAUCGUGCGAGUUUGGCCAAUUUGGAGCCAGAAACCCAAUUAUCAUCAUAUGUGUGGAUUUGCACGAGCACACAUGCGGCGAGCACAGUAACAGUGGUGGAUGCUAAUCAGUCGGCAGUUGUGCUAGACGCGUUUCCCAUAUGCGCAUCACAUAUGCUUUGUAUUGCCUCUGUGCAAGGCGCAGUGGAGAAGGAUUACGCGCUGCUCGAGAACUCUGAAGUGGUUAAGGCUGGUGAAAUGUUGGAGCGUCCCGGCGAAGGCGCCGAAUCAUUUGGCAAGGUUGAGUUUGUGCGUGUACGUCCGAAAGCCGAUAAGAACAGUAACACCAAUAAAAGCGCCCGCGCAGAUGAACAGGCAGAGGAGGUGAUAGCUAUUGAAACGGCUGCGGUUGAGGAGAAUGCAAAGGAAGCUGUUGAAAAAACAGCAGACGACACGAAAAACGCGGCCAACGAGCCAUUGGGCAAUAUACAAGAGAUUAAGGUGCGACAGGCGCUACCAGGUGCACCACAACGCUUGCAGGACGACGGCAGUGUGACCAGCGCCAAAGCGAACAUCAACAAUAACAACUUGCAGCCGUCCUUCUCGAAGCCCAUCAACCCAAUAUUGGGUACGAAAAAUCGUCAGGAUCCGCCAAUGACUUCGAUUGGGCCGACCAUGUGGAUGGGCGAUCAGGAAGGUUGGCUGUAUGUGCAUAGUGCUGUAGGUCGCUGGCAUGAAUGCUUGCAUAAGGUUCUCCUGCCCGAUGCCGUCCUAGCGAUAGUGCAUGUGGAGUCGCGCGUUGUUGUGGCCCUAGCUAAUGCUCAAUUGGCAGUGUUUCGCCGCCAAACAGACGGCCAAUGGGAUCUGAAUAGUUAUCACCUGGUAACGCUGGGUGAUCGUAAUCAUUCGAUACGUUGUCUCUGUGUGGCUGGCGAACGCAUUUGGGCCGCUCACCGCAACAAGAUCUAUAUUGUCGAUCCGAUCUCACUGAGCAUCGUCCACUCGCUGGAGGCGCAUCCACGUAAGGAGAGCCAAGUGCGACAAAUGGCUGCUACCGGCUCGGGUGUAUGGGUUUCCAUACGCUUGGACUCGACACUUCGUUUAUACAGUUCGAACACUUUCGAACACAAACAGGAUGUGGAUAUCGAGCCGUACGUUUCGAAAAUGCUUGGCACUGGCAAGUUGGGUUUCUCAUUUGUGCGCAUUACCGCAUUGAUGGUAUCAUGCAAUCGCUUGUGGAUCGGUACCAGUAACGGGGUCAUAAUUUCGGUGCCAUUAUCGGAGGGUCAAGGCAAAUCAACUGAUCCCAAUAGUCAAAUACCGUUAUGUUGCAUGGCCAAUGCUCAGCUCUCGUUCCACGGUCAUCGUGAUGCGGUUAAGUUCUUUGUAUCCGUGCCGAUGCAGCUACAAAAUGGCGGACAACUGCAAUUCACCAACAAACGGCCGGAUAUGCUAGUCAUGUGUGGCGGCGAAGGCUACAUCGAUUUUCGCAUAAGGCAAGAAAAAUCCAUAACCGAUCCUGGUGAUAAUGAGGCGCAUUUGAUAGUUUGGAAAGUUGAUACUACAUAUAAUUUGUAGUGAUUGAGAGAUGUGGAUAUUGCUACGUACAAAUGUGUUGACACAACACAACGCGUUCCCAUUGCAGCCGUAUACGCACGCGUUAAAGCUAGUAGUUCAAGCUACCAAGCAUGCUGUUGCUGUAUACGUUGUGAUCAGUGAAAAAAAUCGUGCCUUAAACUACUAUAUAUUAACUUUAAUUCACAUGCACAGCGCAGCAAAUUCGUUGAUGCAACGGCAGUUACCUGAUUCAAUACCAAAAUAAGAUGACAAUGAUAUGGAAAACAGUAUUCAACUGGAGGCGAAUCAAACGAUUGAGAAUCGCGGCGACAAGAGUUAUUUAAUUGUGUGGC
RNAcentral lists this unclassified non-coding RNA (4004 nucleotides) under Bactrocera tryoni. RNAcentral's name for it is "jNK-interacting protein 3, transcript variant X16". Lineage: Eukaryota; Metazoa; Arthropoda; Insecta; Diptera; Tephritidae. The record is from RNAcentral.